Molecule: ribosomal RNA, 371 nt
Filed under: Thraustochytriidae sp.
Lineage: Eukaryota; Bigyra; Thraustochytrida; Thraustochytriidae
Description: Thraustochytriaceae sp. partial small subunit ribosomal RNA
Rfam family: Eukaryotic small subunit ribosomal RNA
Source: RNAcentral
AUUCCAGCUCCAAUAGCGAAUACUAAUUCUGCUGCAGUUAAAAAGCUCGUAGUUGAACUUCUGGUAGGACAGAUCCGGCCUUUGGAUGAAUGUCCAUUGUAUGCUGUGUGUCUUGUCUGGCCAUCCUUUAUGUCUUUUAGGCGUAAUCUUUCACUGUAAAAAAAUUAGGGUGUUUCAAGCAAAAGUUAUUUGGAAUAUAUUAGUAUGGGAUGAUAAGAUAGGCUCUUGAGUGCUACUUUGUUGGUUUAUACACUUAGAGAAUGAUUAACAGGGACAGUUGGGGGUAUUCAUAUUUGAUUGUCAGAGGUGAAAUUCUUGGAUUUUUCAAAGAUGAACAAGUGCGAAAGCAUUUACCAAGGAUGUUUUCAUCA